Long non-coding RNA from Scatophagus argus, 2161 nucleotides. RefSeq lists it as uncharacterized. The record is from RefSeq and is a predicted model, not a curated record. The transcript is spliced from 3 exons. Lineage: Eukaryota; Metazoa; Chordata; Actinopteri; Scatophagidae.
ACCUCGGGACUCUGGGACUGUCCGUUCUGCCGCUCCGGCAGCAACGAGCGGGUCCAGAGGAGGACUGACGCCGAGAGGAGCACCGGCAGGAGGCGCAGGGCGGACUGCCACAGAGGUCGGUGUGAGGGGUCACAAUCUGCUGUUUGUUUUAUUAAACACAGACACGGCCAGAGCGACACAUUAACCGAACCAACUCAACCAACGUAGGCGACCAGUCGGGCAGAGUUGGUGUUGGUGCACCAUCCCAUCAAACUCUCCGUCUGAAUUUACUGACCAAACAAUCAGCACAGACGUCAUGCUGGGAAACGACCACCAGUCCUGCCGGAUGAAUGUAAAGGACUUGAGCAUUUUGAAUGAAUCAGAGAAUUUCAGGACACUGUGAGCAGUAAUCAGUCCAGCCCUGAACGCUGCAGUCUGUCCACUUUCUGCUCUUCAUCGCUGACUGCAUCAGUGAUGAAGUUUCAUUUAUGUCAGAGAAGACCUGCUCAACCUAAACGACGAAUACUUCCUACAUAUUUCUGUAUUGAAGAAUGUCAUUCGGUGCCUCCUCUGGCAGAGACGUCGUGUUUCUCCUCAGACUGUUGUCUCGUCGUGUCGUCUGUGAUUGGCUUCUGUUUUGUCUGCGCGACUCUCCGGUUCUGCCUUUGACUUGAGCUUUACCGUCUUCACCUGCGGUUCCAUCAAACUUCCACUUCUUUCUGGCGUAGUAAGCCUUAAAGAUUUUCUCUUUUGAGGACUCGGCACCGGCAUGUUUAGGUCUGAAAUCGAGUAAGUUUAAUGGAAUCACCACAAUCAGUGCCAUCGCUUGAGGAGUGAAUGUCACUGGAAUCUAACUUUGGUCAGAAAUGGAGGAAGCUGCCAUAUAUUUUACAGUAUAUUUAUUCAGCCCUGUCACACAGGAGUCAGUGGUACAAGUUAAAUUAACAGUAAUAAUCCUCGGUGCUGAUCUCCUCCACAGUGUUUCACAUUUGCUGUUUUUCUUCCUGCUUCUCUGGGACUCGAGACCACACUGUUAUGUGCACCUGUUCAGCCUCGAUUCCACAUGGUUUUGUUUUGUGUCCAUAAUUAUGUGUGUGUGCCCUCUAGUGUACAACACGAGGAAAUGCAUGUGUUCACAGGGAAAUAGAAAAACCACCGCAGACAUGGGAGGAGCUAAUUGUCUCUUUCUUUAUCUGCAAAUCGAGGCAAAGACAGGACAAACAGGUUUCCCAAGGGGACGCUACUGAGAAGCUGGCUCACCAAGUCGCGGCCCAGGUUGCUGCUGCUGAUCGCGGGGUUGAAGAGGCCUCAGGUGACCCUCAUGAGGAGGAAAAGGAUGAAGCGCACAAAAGUAGCAAAGGCCACGUAAGCGAACCUGCAGCCGAAUGCCCCACUUCACCUGAGUCCUUGACGGAGAGGAUCUGCCCGGUAGAUAUGGAAGACAAAGAGAAGGAAGACCUGCGUGCUGGAUCUUUGGCCCAGCAACGAACUAAAAUCCAGAAACCACAAAACAGAGUGAAGCUAGAGGAUGAAGCACAGAGAUUGAGGCCUCCAGACUAAUCCGGAUUACACCAAGACCUGGACUACCAGUUUCACCCACUUUCUUCAGUUACACAUCAGUUUGGCUCAUUGGUUGUGCAUCAUUCCUUACCAAAGACAGACUGUUGGCAGAUCAAACCCAGCUGUUCCCGGGUUCUUGGUUCAAACUCUUUCAGGUUUCCCAGUCCUUCUGUUUGAGUGUCAGAAGAAUCCAAAGCAGCUGCUGAUUAAACUCGGGACGUCAACUCCUGCCUCACAUUCUUCUGUCAGAUGAAAAACUGAACACACAGUUCGAAGCUUAACGUGACAGACACACAGAAAUGUGACCAUUACAACAUUCAAGUCUUGAUUGUAUGAAAAUUUGCAAUGUCAAGAUUCAGAAACCAAAAAAUCUAAUUUGCUAAUCAAGGCACCGUUUGCAACAGAAACAAACAAAAAAAUUAGCUAAAUUCUGUAUGCUGUCGUUGUUGGACAUGCACCUGAGGAACAUGAAGUCUUUACCUGACAGAAUGAGACACAGAGUGGAGCUUCUAGUUUUUUGUCAAACUUCUGACUUUUUUUUAAAUUUCAUUUUAUUUUUCAUUCAAGCGGGUAAAAUAAGUUUUGGAACAAGACACUUGAUUUCCGUUGUGUUCGUCUGUGC